This 773-nucleotide ribosomal RNA is filed under the name uncultured bacterium. RNAcentral's name for it is "bacterial SSU rRNA". It matches the Rfam family "Bacterial small subunit ribosomal RNA", at positions 8 to 796 of the family's 1533-position model. The record is from RNAcentral.
AGAGUUUGAUCAUGGCUCAGGACGAACGCUGGCGGCGUGCUUAACACAUGCAAGUCAAGGACCGUAGCAAUACGGGACUGGCGCACGGGUGCGGAACACGUAGGCAAUCUGCCCUUCAAGGGAGAACAACCAGCCGAAAGGUUGGCUAAAUCUCCGUAAAAUCAUAGAGUGGCAUCACUUAUUGAUCAAGUUUUUUGAAGGAUGAGCCUGCGUCUGAUUAGCUAGUUGGCGGGGUAACGGCCCACCAAGGCUACGAUCAGUAGCUGGUCUGAGAGGAUGAUCAGCCACAUUGGGACUGAGAUACGGCCCAGACUCCUACGGGAGGCAGCAGUGAGGAAUAUUGCUCAAUGGGGGAAACCCUGAAGCAGCAACGCCGCGUAAAGGAUGAAGGCGCUUUGCGUUGUAAACUUUUGUAGUCGGGGACAAAUUGUGGGUUACUACCCACUUGAUGGUACCCGAAAAGUAAGGAUCGGCUAACUACGUGCCAGCAGCCGCGGUAAUACGUAGGAUCCGAGCGUUGUCCGGAUUUACUGGGUGUAAAGGGUGCGCAGGCGGACUGGUAAGUCAGAGGUGAAAUCUCGUCGCUUAACGACGAAACUGCCUUUGAUACUAUCAGUCUUGAAUCCGGUAGAGAUCUGUGGAAUUCCGAGUGUAGCAGUGAAAUGUGUAGAUAUUCGGAAGAACACCAGUGGCGAAGGCAGCAGAUUGGGCCGGUAUUGACGCUCAGGCACGAAAGCAUGGGGAUCAAACAGGAUUAGAUACCCUAGUAGUCC